Molecule: ribosomal RNA, 460 nt
Filed under: uncultured bacterium
Lineage: Bacteria
Description: partial 16S ribosomal RNA
Rfam family: Bacterial small subunit ribosomal RNA
Source: RNAcentral
CCUACGGGAGGCAGCAGUGAGGAAUAUUGGUCAAUGGACGAGAGUCUGAACCAGCCAAGUAGCGUGAAGGAUGACUGCCCUAUGGGUUGUAAACUUCUUUUAUAUGGGAAUAAAAUGUUCCACGUGUGGGAUUUUGUAUGUACCAUAUGAAUAAGGAUCGGCUAACUCCGUGCCAGCAGCCGCGGUAAUACGGUGGAUCCGAGCGUUAUCCGGAUUUAUUGGGUUUAAAGGGAGAGUAGGGGGAUUGUUAAGUCAGUUGUGAAAGUUUGCGGCUCAACCGCAAAAUUGCAGUUGAAACUGGCAGUCUUGAGUACAGGAGAGGUGUGCGGAAUUCGUGGUGUAGCGGUGAAAUGCUUAGAUAUCACGAAGAACUCCGAUUGCGAAGGCAGUUCACUGGACUGCAACUGACACUGAGGCACGAAAGUGUGGGUAUCAAACAGGAUUAGAUACCCUUGUAGUC